GUAACACCGCAGUUAGCCAAACGGGAGAUUGAGCGCGCGCACACACACAUACAUACACACACUCUCACACACACUCAGCAGUGAGGAAGAGAGUUGCAGAAAGAAAGAAGCAAAGACAUCCUCAGCUCGCCCAAGAGUGUCAGUUUCCUCGUUGUUUGGAGAUCCUUGAUAUGACCCUCUUUAGCCCGAGAUACAUGAGCAUGAGUGGAGAGUUGAAGUCCAGCCGCUCCAGGGCAGCGAGUAAGAGGGCCAGCAACACCAUUUAUGGUUCCUCUCUAGCCUGGCGAGUCCCAGCUGUGAAAGGAGGGAUGGGGUAGAGAGAGCAGCAAGCAUUUCACAUCCAGAUGUUGCUGCUGCAGCCGUGGCCUCUGUGCGCUCCAGUGCACCACUACAAAAGCUCACUGUAUUGUGUGGCCCCUAUAGGGAGGCUCAGGUGCCAGAAAGAAGAAGCCAGAGGUGUCAUGUGCCGUGUGUGUAUUUAUAUGAUGACUUAGAUAGCUUUAUGGGUUAAACACCAUGAAAGACUGCUGAUGGUUUUUAAUAAAUGUCUGUGGUGAUGAGUUCCUGUUGUACGUACAUCUCCUUCAGGCAAUUCCUCAGAUACUUCUUUAAAUGCGGCCUAAAGCAGUGGUCCCUAACAACCGGGCCACUUGGUUCAGGGCUGCAGACGAAGAAGAAAAUCACAAUUACAUGCGCUUUUCCCUUUUUUAGUCGUGCGCAGCAAUUACUAACCCCC
Molecule: long non-coding RNA, 736 nt
Organism: Gasterosteus aculeatus aculeatus (three-spined stickleback)
Lineage: Eukaryota; Metazoa; Chordata; Actinopteri; Perciformes; Gasterosteidae
Source: Ensembl